Molecule: ribosomal RNA, 493 nt
Filed under: uncultured Glomeromycotina
Lineage: Eukaryota; Fungi; Glomeromycota
Description: SSU rRNA
Rfam family: Eukaryotic small subunit ribosomal RNA
Source: RNAcentral
AGCCGCGGUAAUUCCAGCUCCAAUAGCGUAUAUUAAAGUUGUUGCAGUUAAAAAGCUCGUAGUUGAAUUUCGGGAUUGACACAUCGGUCGUGCCUUAAGGGGUAUGAACUGGUGUAGUCAAUUUCUCACCUUCUGGAGAACCGCGAUGCCCUUAAUUGGGUGUCGCGGGGAACCAGGACCUUUACUUUGAAAAAAUUAGAGUGUUUAAAGCAGGCAUUUUGCUUGAAUACCUUAGCAAGGAAUAAUAAAAUAGGACGGCAUGAUUCUAUUUUGUUGGUUUCUAGGAUCACCGUAAUGAUUAAUAGGGAUAGUUGGGGGCAUUAGUAUUCAAUUGUCAGAGGUGAAAUUCUUGGAUUUAUUGAAGACUAACUACUGCGAAAGCAUUUGCCAAGGAUGUUUUCAUUAAUCAAGAACGAAAGUUAGGGGAUCGAAGACGAUCAGAUACCGUCGUAGUCUUAACCAUAAACUAUGCCGACUAGGGAUCGGAUGAUGU